This 261-nucleotide long non-coding RNA is filed under the name Gossypium barbadense (sea-island cotton). RNAcentral's name for it is "long non-coding RNA (GBAR_LNC010682)". The record is from RNAcentral. Lineage: Eukaryota; Viridiplantae; Streptophyta; Magnoliopsida; Malvales; Malvaceae.
GGACGGAAGCGUCAGCCCGUAGUGCGGAGAAAAGAUGAAUACUUGGCAAGAAGGCUAAGUACGGAUUCUAGGCCUCAAGAACCCUUUUUUGGGGAAUAUUGACAACUUUCGGCUAGAUAGGUUUUAGUGGCUCAUGAUAAUGGUGGAAAAAGAAAUAAAUAUAAAAAUGGAAAAAGUGAAUUUUAUUGAAAGAAAAUAUGAAGAAACAAAAGCCUAGACUUUCAGGAGAAGAGUGUUUACAGAAAAAGAUGAACCCCAAAU